RNAcentral lists this ribosomal RNA (455 nucleotides) under uncultured bacterium. RNAcentral describes it as "bacterial SSU rRNA". It matches the Rfam family "Bacterial small subunit ribosomal RNA", at positions 340 to 786 of the family's 1533-position model. The record is from RNAcentral.
UACGGAAGGCAGCAGUGGGGAAUAUUGGACAAUGGGCGCAAGCCUGAUCCAGCCAUGCCGCGUGUGUGAAGAAGGCCUUCGGGUUGUAAAGCACUUUUGUCCGGAAAGAAAAGCUUAGGGUUAAUAACCUUGAGUCAUGACGGUACCGGAAGAAUAAGCACCGGCUAACUUCGUGCCAGCAGCCGCGGUAAUACGAAGGGUGCAAGCGUUACUCGGAAUUACUGGGCGUAAAGCGUGCGUAGGUGGUUUGUUAAGUCUGAUGUGAAAGCCCUGGGCUCAACCUGGGAAUGGCAUUGGAAACUGGCUUACUAGAGUGCGGUAGAGGGGUGUGGAAUUCCCGGUGUAGCAGUGAAAUGCGUAGAUAUCGGGAGGAACAUCUGUGGCGAAGGCGACACCCUGGGACCAGCACUGACACUGAGGCACGAAAGCGUGGGGAGCAAACAGGAUUAGAUACC